This 375-nucleotide ribosomal RNA is filed under the name uncultured bacterium. RNAcentral describes it as "bacterial SSU rRNA". It matches the Rfam family "Bacterial small subunit ribosomal RNA", at positions 524 to 898 of the family's 1533-position model. The record is from RNAcentral.
UACGGAGGGUGCAAGCGUUAAUCGGAAUUACUGGGCGUAAAGCGCACGCAGGCGGUCUGUCAAGUCGGAUGUGAAAUCCCCGGGCUCAACCUGGGAACUGCAUCCGAAACUGGCAGGCUAGAGUCUUGUAGAGGGGGGUAGAAUUCCAGGUGUAGCGGUGAAAUGCGUAGAGAUCUGGCGGAAUACCGGUGGCGAAGGCGGCCCCCUGGCCAAAGACUGACGCUCAGGUGCGAAAGCGUGGGGAGCAAACAGGAUUAGAUACCCUGGUAGUCCACGCCGUAAACGAUGUCGACUUGGAGGUUGUGGCCUUGAGGCGUGGCUGCCGGAGCGAACGCGUUAAGUCGACCGCCUGGGGAGUACGGCCGCAAGGUUAAA